UCCAUGGUGUAGCAAUACACCGGAAGAUUUAGUGGCGAACGGGUGAGGAUCACGUGAGAAACGUGCCCCAGACUCUGGGAUAACAAUUGGAAACGAUUGCUAAUACCGGAUGACGUCGGAGAAUCGCAUGAUUCACUGACGAAAGAUAUUUCGGUUUGGGAGCGUCUCGCGGCCUAUCAGCUUGUUGGUGGGGUAAUGGCCUACCAAGGCAACGACGGGUAGCUGGUCUGAGAGGAUGAUCAGCCACACUGGGACUGAGACACGGCCCAGACUCCUACGGGAGGCAGCAGUGGGGAAUCUUGCGCAAUGGGCGAAAGCCUGACGCAGCAACGCCGCGUGCGGGAUGAAGGCCUUCGGGCUGUAAACCGCUUUCAGCAGGAACGAAAAUGACGGUACCUGCAGAAGAAGGAGCGGCCAACUACGUGCCAGCAGCCGCGGUGACACGUAGGCUC
Molecule: ribosomal RNA, 452 nt
Filed under: uncultured Actinomycetes bacterium
Lineage: Bacteria; Bacillati; Actinomycetota; Actinomycetes
Description: bacterial SSU rRNA
Rfam family: Bacterial small subunit ribosomal RNA
Source: RNAcentral